CCUACGGGGGGCAGCAGUGAGGAAUAUUGGUCAAUGGGCGCGAGCCUGAACCAGCCAAGUAGCGUGAAGGAUGACUGCCCUACGGGUUGUAAACUUCUUUUAUAAAGGAAUAAAGUGAGGCACGUGUGCCUUUUUGUAUGUACCUUAUGAAUAAGGAUCGGCUAACUCCGUGCCAGCAGCCGCGGUAAUACGGAGGAUCCGAGCGUUAUCCGGAUUUAUUGGGUUUAAAGGGAGCGUAGAUGGGUUGUUAAGUCAGUUGUGAAAGUUUGCGGCUCAACCGUAAAAUUACAGUUGAUACUGGCAGCCUUGAGUACAGGAGAGGUAGGCGGAAUUCGUGGUGUAGCGGUGAAAUGCUUAGAUAUCACGAAGAACUCCGAUUGCGAAGGCAGCCUACUGGACUGCCACUGACGUUGAUGCUCGAAAGUGUGGGUAUCAAACAGGAUUAGAUACCCCGGUAGUC
This 460-nucleotide ribosomal RNA is filed under the name uncultured bacterium. RNAcentral describes it as "partial 16S ribosomal RNA". It matches the Rfam family "Bacterial small subunit ribosomal RNA", at positions 338 to 795 of the family's 1533-position model. The record is from RNAcentral.